CUAAUAUGGCAGAAUAGUGCAUUGGACUUAAGACCCAAAUAUAAAGCAUCAGCUUUUUUUAGAA
RNAcentral lists this transfer RNA (64 nucleotides) under Labidostomis urticarum. RNAcentral describes it as "tRNA-Leu". Lineage: Eukaryota; Metazoa; Arthropoda; Insecta; Coleoptera; Chrysomelidae. The record is from RNAcentral.